Molecule: ribosomal RNA, 462 nt
Filed under: uncultured bacterium
Lineage: Bacteria
Description: partial 16S ribosomal RNA
Rfam family: Bacterial small subunit ribosomal RNA
Source: RNAcentral
GACGAACGCUGGCGGCGUGCUUAACACAUGCAAGUCGAGCGGUAAGGCCUUUCGGGGUACACGAGCGGCGAACGGGUGAGUAACACGUGGGUGAUCUGCCCUGCACUUCGGGAUAAGCCUGGGAAACUGGGUCUAAUACCGGAUAUGACCUCCUAUCGCAUGGUGGGUGGUGGAAAGAUUUAUCGGUGCAGGAUGGGCCCGCGGCCUAUCAGCUUGUUGGUGGGGUAAUGGCCUACCAAGGCGACGACGGGUAGCCGACCUGAGAGGGUGACCGGCCACAUUGGGACUGAGACACGGCCCAGACUCCUACGGGAGGCAGCAGUGGGGAAUAUUGCGCAAUGGGCGGAAGCCUGAUGCAGCGACGCCGCGUGAGGGAUGACGGCCUUCGGGUUGUAAACCUCUUUCGGCAGGGACGAAGCGCGAGUGACGGUACCUGGAGAAGAAGCACCGGCUAACUACGUG